CCGGCCACCAUCCCCCAGCUUGUACUAGAUUGAACCAAGCCCAAGCGAAAGCUGGGGCUGGCAAAGCUCCAGCCGAGUGCAGAGGGUAUGCUCAAAGCAGGAAGCUGUGGCAAAGCUGAGUCGCUAAAAAGCUACUGGAGCUAAUAUAUUGUGGUCAUGGGGAUAGGCAGCAGCAUCUGAGUAGCGAUGGGAAGACUCAAAAGCGCCUUCAAAACAGGCUUGAAAAGUACUGCUGAUCUUUGCACUUUGACUGGGCUUUUGUGCUUACGGUUACGCUUGAAACAUUUAGGCCGCACGUUGUGUGGUGACGGCCUGGUGCAGUGCAUACGGUCUAUCCCUACGCACGGCGUGUGCCUCGCAGAUGCCUCGUUUGCUGCCCGUGCACCUAAAUGCAGAGGAAGGGAGGGAGAAGAAGCUAUUCCAGCUCUGCUGCAUUGGUGGUCACUGGCUCUGAAGAACAUGCUGAACCUGAAAAGAGGACAGGAAAAUGGCUGGGUUAAAAACAAACAAGGAAGCAUCCCCAUCUUCUUCUUCUACAGCAAAGAUUUUUUUAUUUUUUUAUUUUUUUUCUCAAAGUAUUGCUCCUUCUAGAUACUUUCUAACUCCAUCCUAAGUGUUUGAAAGCAACUCUCACUAAAGUUUAUCCUAAUAAUAAACCGUGACGGAAGGAAGUAAUCUUAGUAUUC
This 686-nucleotide long non-coding RNA is filed under the name Anser brachyrhynchus (Pink-footed goose). Its description in RNAcentral is "lncRNA (ENSABRG00000013630.1)". The record is from RNAcentral. Lineage: Eukaryota; Metazoa; Chordata; Aves; Anseriformes; Anatidae.